This 252-nucleotide ribosomal RNA is filed under the name uncultured bacterium. Its description in RNAcentral is "partial 16S ribosomal RNA". It matches the Rfam family "Bacterial small subunit ribosomal RNA", at positions 524 to 776 of the family's 1533-position model. The record is from RNAcentral.
UACGUAAGGACCGAGCGUUGUCCGGAAUCAUUGGGCGUAAAGGGUACGUAGGUGGUUAGAAAAGUUAGAAGUGAAAGGCUAUAGCUCAACUAUAGUAAGCUUCUAAAACUGGAAACCUUGAGUAAUGGAAGGGAAAGUGGAAUUCCUAGUGUAGCGGUGGAAUGCGCAGAUAUUAGGAGGAAUACCGGUGGCGAAGGCGACUUGCUGGAAUCUAACUGACGCUGAGGUACGAAAGCGUGGGGAGCAAACAGG